This is a long non-coding RNA of Hippoglossus stenolepis (Pacific halibut), 1129 nucleotides long. RefSeq lists it as uncharacterized. The record is from RefSeq and is a predicted model, not a curated record. The transcript has 2 exons. Lineage: Eukaryota; Metazoa; Chordata; Actinopteri; Pleuronectiformes; Pleuronectidae.
CACGUUCACAGAAGCAACACUUUCAUCAGCUGAGGGGUGACGCAGAAGACAGAGGCAGGAUGUAACUUAUUAAUUCCGCUGUCACGUGUUUGUGUCCGCUCCCCCCCACUUGCUCACAGGGAAUUCAGCAGAGGACCUACUGCAGAAUCUCCAGAGGAUCUCAGGAGGUCUCAACUGUGAGCAGAUAUUUCAGCCUGAGACAUCAGCUCCACAGUACUGUCUGCAACUUCUGGCACAAGCAACAGUCAGCACCAUAAAAACAUUGGACUUUGGACAUCUCAACAUACCACGAAGAAAGCAGAAUCUGAUGACAGCAAUAAUAACAUUUUACGAGACUGAAGUAUGUAAGAAUGGAGCCAUUUGGGUUCAAGUUGUAAACCUAGUUGGUGAAUGACUGUAAAGGACUCACAGGUAAGCAGAUGGGGAAGACAUGGGAUCGACCUGCCGACCUUCUGGUUGGAGGACAGCUGCUCUACCCCUCAGCCACAGCCGCCACUACCCGUUGAGAUACCCACUCAACUGGGCUGACUGGUAUUCAUGGUGCAAUGUGGUACAUUUAACAAGUAGCAGAAUGGCUAAUUGCAAUGACCAAUACUUAUUUUAAGGUACAUAGGCUAUUUGUGUAUUGUACUGAGAAAAAUUAUAAUUCAUAGGCUGAGGCUUAGCGUGUCCGAUGAUGAUACUUUCAGCUCCAUGUGUUUGGUGUGCUCUGGCUCAGCUGUGGCUCAGGCUCAGCAACUUUUUCACAAACCUGUCACAUACAGUAGGUUGGUGGUUCAAUCCCGAGCUCCUCUGCAUGACAAAGUGUACUUGAGCAAGACAUUGAAGCCUAACAUCUGUUCUGUCAGAGUGAAUGAUGUGUGUUUAAAAAGGGGGAUUGUUAUGACAAAAAUAUAAUAUGAUGCAGUGAAUUUACAAGCUCCAAGUUACAGACGGCUCCCUAGUGUUCACUUAAAUACUGAAUUUGCUUAAAAAUAUGAAACCACAACACGCCGUGAACUGUCUGGAAAAUGUGGAUUGCACAUUCCUCUGGACCUUAGCCUGUAUGAGGAAUAUCUGCAGGGCAAUGCCCAGGCAUGCUGAAAUGUGCUCUGAGCCAUGGUUGGCAAAAUAAAUGUAACAGCAGUCA